This is a long non-coding RNA of Myiozetetes cayanensis, 1400 nucleotides long. RefSeq lists it as uncharacterized. NCBI's taxonomy places the organism in Eukaryota, Metazoa, Chordata, Aves, Passeriformes, Tyrannidae. The record is from RefSeq and is a predicted model, not a curated record. The transcript has 3 exons.
GGGAGGCUGUGAGGCCUCCCCGAGGUGGCCGGUGCAGCUGAUCCAGCCCCCUGAGCACUGGUCCCAAUGGAAUGUGAUGUGAUGGGGGUUUUGCCAGGCAAGGAAUUACUGUGUCCAGCACUGGGCUCCUCAUUACAAGAAGGAAAAGAAGCUACUGGAGAAGGGCCAGUGGAGGGCCAUAUAGAUGAUUACGGGUCUGGAGCAUCUCUUUUAUGAGGAGAGACUGCAGGACCUGAACCUGAAUAGUCUAGAGAGGAGAAGACCGAGAGGGGAUCUCACCAGUAGCAUAUAAGUAUCUCAAAGGUAGCAGGAAAUUCAAGCACAUGUGUGCCUCAGGCAAAUAAAGUAACCUUACAAACUGCAUUUGAAGGAUUAGAUGUCACCUCUGAUGUACCUGGAUCCAGCUCGCUACAACCAUCUCACAAAAAGGACCUGCUUGUGCAAGAGAGUGCGAACUCUCUGAUGUUACCUGUAUGCACUAAAGAAAAGACCUCUGACUUCAACACACUUGGGAAAAGGAAGUUUUGGACAAGACAUGCUAGAUGGUGGAAACCUCCUAAAUCAAACCAUUAGGAAGUCAGAAAGGGACUGAACCAUGCUUUUGGGUUCUCUCUCUUUCAGUUCUGAUCUUUUUUUCAUAGAAGUUCAAUAUUCUUGAGAGAAAAUAUGUUGGGAUAAAUUUAUCAUAAUGCCAUGAUCAACAGUAACCUUUGGUUAACAGCAGUCAGCCUGCCUACAUGGCUGGAAAAUAUGUAAUUCAUUUAUCAUGUAAUUCAUUUAUCUAGAAAGCCCAGAAAGCUUUCUAGCAAGAACAUGUAUUCAGAACACAGGCAAGCAUGACUGUUUCUCUCACGAAGAUAAACUUAUAUAAGGAUCCUGGACUGCCUUCCUGAGUGCCUACACAUACCCAAGUAUAGCUUCUGCAUAGCUCACUAAAAAGCAGGAUAAAAUGGGCUAGACAACUUUACUACCAUUUAAAAACAAAGAAACAAAACCCCACACCUGCAACUCUUAUGCCUGAAUUAAGAAUUUUUUCAUAUUAAAAUUACACCAUAAGCCCACUCACAUCAUCUCACUUUUACUAAGAAUGGUUCACAUUUAAGAUUCCUAUCUUAACAGUAUCUUAACGUUUCUUUGUCCCUGGAGCAAAAGAGGGUAGUAAUUAUAGUAGUAAUGUCAUAACUCGAUCCUCCAUCAAGAGGGAUGCCAAUAUCAUUUAAGCAAUGACUCCAGACUUUUCCACACCAUUACAAUGCCAAACUUUCUAAAGCAGAAAAUACAAUUCUAUCUUGCAGAUCUCUGGAUUUCCACUGAGCUCAGCAUAAAUCAAACUCAUCCUCUAAGGCAGGAUUGCAAAACAAUCAUGUCUCAGAGAUGGAAAAUCCAGCAUGCUGACUAAA